Molecule: ribosomal RNA, 464 nt
Filed under: uncultured bacterium
Lineage: Bacteria
Description: partial 16S ribosomal RNA
Rfam family: Bacterial small subunit ribosomal RNA
Source: RNAcentral
AGUGAACGCUGGCGGCGUGCCUAAUACAUGCAAGUCGAACGAUGAAGUCCUAGCUUGCUAGGAUGGAUUAGUGGCGCACGGGUGAGUAAUAUAUAGUUAAUCUGCCCUACACAGAGGAACAACAGUUGGAAACGACUGCUAAUACCUCAUACUCCUAUUUGACAUAAGUUAAAUAGGGAAAGUCUUUUCGGUGUAGGAUGAGACUAUAUCGUAUCAGCUAGUUGGUAAGGUAAUGGCUUACCAAGGCUAUGACGCGUAACUGGUCUGAGAGGAUGAUCAGUCAAAAUGGAAAAGAGAACCGCGCCAAAACACCACCGGGAGGAGGCAGAAGGGAAUAUGGAGAAAGGGGGAAACCCCGAAAGAACCACCCCGGGGGGAAGAAGAACAUUUUUGGGGGAUAAACUUCUUUUUAACAGAAAAAAAAAAGGAGGGUACCUAAUAAAAAAGCCCCGGCAACCCCCGUC